AGUGGAAAAGAGAAGAAAGCAAAGAGCUGGAUUGGCCAUUCUGAGUUUGGAAGAAUCCUGAUCACAAGAUGCAGGUGCUGAGCCUGUCCCAGAUCCUGCUUGGGAGCAGCCCUUGCAGACGUGCUCGAUGAGGUCAGGGGAGAGCUCGCAACUGGAUGUUGCACUUCCUUCCACAGCUCUCCCGUGACUGGCCUGAAGCUUGUUCAAGUUCGAUUACUGAUCCCCAUUACUGGAACAUGCAAACCUCUCGUGAGCCUGGAUUCGUGCUCAGCCCAGAAAGUGCUUUUAUCCUCAUUGUGCUGGAGAUGGAGCCAGGCUAAGUGACUUCCACAGGAGAGGCUGGAAAUCAAUAGGAGAGCAGGAAUCUAGAGCUGCAUCUCUUA
Long non-coding RNA from Hirundo rustica (Barn swallow), 383 nucleotides. RefSeq lists it as uncharacterized. The record is from RefSeq and is a predicted model, not a curated record. The transcript has 3 exons. Lineage: Eukaryota; Metazoa; Chordata; Aves; Passeriformes; Hirundinidae.